RNAcentral lists this transfer RNA (95 nucleotides) under Kocuria turfanensis. RNAcentral describes it as "tRNA-Phe". Lineage: Bacteria; Bacillati; Actinomycetota; Actinomycetes; Micrococcales; Micrococcaceae. The record is from RNAcentral.
GCGGUCAGUGGCUGAUGGCGGGGGCGGCGCCGAUGAAGCGGGUGCUGAGCACCUGGGUGGCGGCGAAGCCGGCGAUCUCCUCGGCGCUGGCCCCG